This 148-nucleotide signal recognition particle RNA is filed under the name Pongo abelii (Sumatran orangutan). RNAcentral describes it as "Metazoan signal recognition particle RNA (ENSPPYG00000033170.1)". It matches the Rfam family "Metazoan signal recognition particle RNA". Rfam says of the family: The signal recognition particle (SRP) is a universally conserved ribonucleoprotein. Lineage: Eukaryota; Metazoa; Chordata; Mammalia; Primates; Hominidae. The record is from Rfam by way of RNAcentral.
GCUGGGCGUGGUUGCGCACGCCUGUAAUCCCAGCUACUCAGGAGGCUGAGGCAGGAGAAUUGCUUGAACCCAGGAGGCAGAGGUUGCAGUGAGCCGAGAUCGCGCCACUGCACUCCAGCCUGGGCGACAGAGCAAGACUCUGUCUCAA